AUGCCAAUCAAAGCCUGCCAUCCUGCCAGGUCUGACUCAGACUGCAAUGAAACUUCUGAUGCCAGAAACCUAGGGGAGGAGAACGGAGCUGUCAAAGAUAAUCCAAAAGCAACCAUUCUCCUCUCUUCUCUUCUUUUUUCUUUCUUGCUCUUCUUUCCUUACUCUUUUUCUUUCUUUUUCUCUCUUUCCUUCCUUCCUUUUUUCUUCCUUCUUUCUUUCUUUCUUUUUUCUCUCUCUCUUUCUCUAUUUCUCUUCCUUCCUUCCUAUCUUCCUGUCUUUCUUUCUUUGUUUCUUUACUUCUCUCUCUCUUUCUUUCUUUCUUUCUUUCUUUCUUUCUUUCUUUCUUCCUUCCUUCCUUCCUUCAUUCUUCCUCCUUCUCUCCCUCCCUCCCUUCCUUCCUUCUUUCCUUCUUUCUUUCUUUUUCUCUUUCUUUCUCUAUUUCUCUCUUCCUUCCUGUCUUCCUUCCUGUCUUCCUGUCUUCCUUCCUUCCUGUCUUCCUUCCUUCCUUCCUUUCUUUCUUUCUUUCUUUCUUUCUUUCUUUCUUUCUUUCUUUCUUUCUUUCUUUCUUUCUUUCUUUCCUUCAUUCUUCCUCCCUCCCACCCUUCCUCCCUUCCUUCCUUCCUCCCUCCCUCCCUUCCUUCCUUCCUUCCUUCCUUCCUUCCUUCCUUCCUUCCUUCCUUCCUUCCUUCCUUCCUUCCUUCCCUUCCUUCCUUCCUUCCUUCCUCCCUCCCUCCCUCCCUCCCUCCCUCCCUCCCUCCCUUCCUUCCUCCCUCCCUCCCUCCCUCCCUCCCUCCCUUCCUUCCUUCCUUCCUUCCUUCCUUCCUUCCUUCCUUCCUUCCUUCCUUCCUUCCUUCCCUCUAUCUACAUCUCCCCAUUCCUCUCCUCUUCCCUUUCUCCAACUCAUUCUGCUUUCUUGAUGUAGCACACUCUCAAGAAAGGCUACCAUGUUUUUGUUUUUGUUUUUUCAUCAUUCAAGUGUCUUUACAAAGGGAGAGAUUGAACCAUCUGAGAAAAGAGUAACUUUUUCACUUGCCCUGAAAAGAGUGAGGUGGAUAUCUCUUCUUUUUUCUUUCUUUCUCUUCUUCUUUCCUUCCUCUUUCUCUCUCUUUCCUUCCUUCUUUCCUCCUUCCUUCCUUCCUUCCUUCCUUCCUUUCUAGAAUUAAUUCUUAGUAGAAUUAAGUCAAUUUCUUUAUUUAUACAAUGUGUUUCUCCAGAAGAAAAAGUGAGGAAAGGGAUAUAAACACUGAAUGGGUCGUUAAAUUUUGAUAGUUCAAAGGCUUUGUGUAGUGAUGUUUUAAAAAUUAAAACUGAGACAAAAAUUCCAUCCUGUGAUAAGAAGUGGAAUUUGUUUAUUGGUUUGUACCUUUAUUUCAAUUGACCUGGAAAACCCCUAGUGUAAAAUCUCCCUCUAGCAGUGGAAAUCAGCAAAUCCUCUGUAGCUUAAAAUAUUAGAAAAUACUUGUGGUAAUAAGAAGUUUAUAUGAUUGUGCAAUCAUAGAUUUAAGAUCAUCAGGUCUAAUCCCUUCAUUCUGAAAAUGAGGAAACUGAGGCACAGAGAAAUGAAGUGACUUUUCCAGAGUCACACAGACAAUGCAUUUUGGGGAUAAAAUUUAAAAUUGGGCUUCAUUAAUCCAAACUUGAUGCUAUACCCCAUUGUCUCUCAAAUGACAUGGAGAGGGUUUAAAGUUGUAAAGCAAUUUGUUGUGAUAUUUUGGAGCAAGCUCUUCCCAGAUCUUAAGAGCUGAUUGUUAAAAUUUCAAUAUGAGCAUUUAAACCUCUGAGAUUGGAGAUAUCUAAAUACUGGGGCUUGAUUUAUUGACUGGGCAAUUGUCUAGACUUUAAUAUAGUGUUGGGUAAAAUAUUAAUGAUGAAUAUUAAACUUAAAAGUGUAUCACAACUGAUCCAAUCAUUCUGGAAGGUAAUUUGGAAUUAUGCCCAAAGGGCACUAAAAGACUGCUCUUUGAUCCAGCAAUACCACUACUGGGUUUGUACCCCAAAGAGAUAAUAAGGAAAAACGUUUGUAUACAAAUAUUCAUAGCCAUGCUCUUUGUGGUAGCAAAAAAUUGGAAAAUGAGAGGAUGCCCCUUGAUUGAGGAAUGGCUGAACAAAUGAUGAUAUGUAAUAGUGGUGGAAUACUAUUGUACUGUUCAGAAUGAUCAAUUACUUGAUUUCUAUAUGAAAUGGAAAGGCCUCCAUGAACUGAUACGGAACAAAAUAAGCAGAACCAGAAGAACAUUGUACACAGAAAGUGAAACAUUGUGGAACAACAAAUAGCAAUGCAAUGAUCUAGGACAUCCCUGAGGGACUUUAUAAGAAAGAAUGCUACCUACAUCAAGAAAAAAAAAAACCAUGGAAGUAGAAACUCAGAAGAAAAACAUAUGAUUUAUCACUUGUUUAUAAUGGAUGCAGGAUGUGGGAUUUUGGUUUUUAAGAGAUUAUUAUAAAAAUUAAUAACAUGGAAAUAGAUAUUGAGUGAUAAUACAGGCAUGACCUUGUGGAAUUGCUUGUUGGCUCCAGGAGUGGGGAGAGGAAAGGAGAGUAAUAAAACACGAAUCAUGUAACCA
This is a long non-coding RNA of Monodelphis domestica (gray short-tailed opossum), 2564 nucleotides long. The record is from Ensembl. Lineage: Eukaryota; Metazoa; Chordata; Mammalia; Didelphimorphia; Didelphidae.